GCCGAGGUCCCGGAGGAGCAGAAGGAAAUGGAAGAUAAAGUGACCAGUCCAGAGAAAGCCGAAGAAGCAAAGCUAAAAGCAAGGUAUCCUCACCUGGGACAGAAGCCUGGAGGUUCCGAUUUUUUAAGGAAACGAUUGCAGAAAGGGCAAAAAUAUUUUGAUUCUGGGGAUUACAACAUGGCUAAGGCAAAGAUGAAGAACAAGCAACUGCCUACUGCGACCCCAGAAAAGACAGAGAUAACUGGUGACCACAUUCCCACUCCACAGGACCUUCCACAACGGAAACCAUCCCUUGUCACGAUUAAGCUGGCUGGCUGA
Octodon degus (degu) is the source of this 318-nucleotide RNA transcript. It is a transcript of the gene named cAMP-regulated phosphoprotein 19 pseudogene, with no coding region annotated. Lineage: Eukaryota; Metazoa; Chordata; Mammalia; Rodentia; Octodontidae. The record is from RefSeq and is a predicted model, not a curated record. The transcript has a single exon.